GACUGGAUAUAUCAACGAAAAUUAGCCCUCAGGGUCAGGGUAUUUGGAUUUAAGUUAAUAUAGCCUGAAUACCACAUUUUAGGGAUAAGAUGCCAAUGGGAGAAAUUUUCUACCUCAAAUUUUCUAUGGUACCAAAAUGACCCUUAAAGCCACAUUUUUGACCAGUGAUGGCAAAUGAUAAAUUGUCCUACACAACAUUUUGCUCUGGGUCACCAAACAAAUGAAAUCUGUAUAUAUGAUAUAUUAUAGUGAAAAAAUCAAUAACAAAUUUAAUAUAUAAGAAUAAGGAAUAUGUCAUGUAAUUUUCACAUGUUAAAGAAAUAAUUCAACACUAAAUUUCACGAUGGGUCAGCGAGCAAACAAAAUCUUUAGAUAACAUGGAUCAUCGUGAAAAUGGCACUAACCGAUUUUAAGUUUACAUAUUGGGCUAUUUUCCAUAUUUUUUAAUAAACAACCGAAAUGACUAUUGAAACCACAUUUUGGGGGAUGAUGCCAAUAGAUAAAUGAUUCUAUAUAAAAUUUUACUAUGGGUCCGCGAACUAAAAAAAUGUCUUCCGUAAGGGCAACAUCUUGGAUAACAAAUUGGUGCUUUAGCCCAUUCUUUUGUCACAUCUUGCCUUUCUUUACAAAAGCCGUAUUUUUUCCAUCUGACGAUCUAUAUCAAAUGAUUUUUUGUUAUUCCCCAAAUCCGCAGUAUUCCUCCAUUAAAAAACUUAUUUUAUAUCAUUCUUAACAUUUUAUAUCAUCUGCUUGGUAUGAUUCCCACAAUUGUUUAAACAUUUUAUUUAUUCAAUUUUUUCUUCAGCAACGACAGCCUUGACAGCCAACUUUUACGGGAGCCACAAACCGCGAAAUAUUCUAUCAUUUUUUAGCCUUGUCCAUCCCAUAAUGAUUGAAUUGUUACAAUUGUUCGCACCUAACUGUAUUUUUAACGGCAAAUCAAGAGCUCGAAAGAUUUACGUCCGUUUCAUAGCUAAAGAAAUUGAAAAAUGUUUGGUCUCAAAAUAAAUAACAAAGCCGGACCAAAUUUUGAAUUUUGCUAACUUUGUUGCCGUUAGAUAAUUUUUUGAAGGCGCUAUGUUUAUUUGUUAAUUUCUUGUAUUUUUUUUUGUUUAGGAAUUGUUUUAAAAAAUCUGACGACGACAUUUUUUUUGAUAUCUUGUAAACGGAAGAAAUAUCAUACAUCAAGUUUGCAAUGGGCCUGUGAAAAUAGAAAGUUUCUGGACAGGAUAUAUACCACGAAAAUUACCACUCAUGCUCAUCUGAAUACCUCAUUUUUGGGAUAUGAUGUCGAUGGAAGAAAUUUUCUACAUGAAAUUUGCUAAGGAUAAUUUAUUUACAACGGAUCUAUAGUUAGUUAUUUCCACUAACUAAAGAUCCAAUGUAAAUAUGGGAUAUAUCGGUCCACUCCUUCUGGUACCUCCCACACAAAGGCUCAAAAUUUUGAAUAACUGUGAAGCUCAUAACAAGCGAAAUUGACAUCCGAUUCCAUUCUAUA
Long non-coding RNA from Musca domestica (house fly), 1498 nucleotides. RefSeq lists it as uncharacterized. The transcript is spliced from 3 exons. The record is from RefSeq and is a predicted model, not a curated record. Lineage: Eukaryota; Metazoa; Arthropoda; Insecta; Diptera; Muscidae.